AGUAAAAUGACUGAGGUUUAGGUGUUAAACUGUAAAUUUAAUCACGGGUGUUCCCCUUUUAUUA
This 64-nucleotide transfer RNA is filed under the name Metisotoma macnamarai. RNAcentral describes it as "tRNA-Tyr". It matches the Rfam family "tRNA". Rfam says of the family: Transfer RNA (tRNA) molecules are approximately 80 nucleotides in length. Their secondary structure includes four short double-helical elements and three loops (D, anti-codon, and T loops). The record is from RNAcentral. Lineage: Eukaryota; Metazoa; Arthropoda; Collembola; Entomobryomorpha; Isotomidae.